RNAcentral lists this long non-coding RNA (1548 nucleotides) under Homo sapiens (human). RNAcentral describes it as "HSALNT0391688". The record is from RNAcentral. Lineage: Eukaryota; Metazoa; Chordata; Mammalia; Primates; Hominidae.
CACCUCUGGCUGUUUACUUCCACCCAGUAAGGCGGAGUUUCCUGCCCUGAAACUGAAGGACGUCCCUCCCUAGAACAGCUUAUAAGAGGAAACAUUAGGGCAGCAACACAAGUGAGUCUCAGACAUUUUCUCACAAAAGGCCCCAGGGACCACAAAUUAAAGGAAAGGAUGCUUAGGAGAGGAAAGCCUGGAGAGUUUGGAAAACGACUUUGAGGCGCUGGACUGAGUCACCAUCAUUUCCUGCUGAGGUUAUCCUAAGAGAACUAGCAGGCACCACCACUCCCCACACCAGCUGCCUGCUCUGGGAUCUGGGCAGGACCGACCUAUCAGCCAAAGGAGUCCCAGACGGCACCAGAUUGCCAGUGAUGUAAUAUACACUUCAUUUGUUUAUCUGUAAGCCUUCAGAGCAAGCAAGAGAGGAAAACAAGCCAGUGGAAAUAUUAUACAGGGAGCAGCUAGCUUUUCUUGGCUUUCUUGUUUGUUCCUGAGCUGACAAUAGAAAUCUUUGAGAAUUGGAACUAGUGCGCUUUGAAAACAAAACUCUCUUCACUUACAGGGCAUGGAUUUUUCUGCUAAUUUGGAUUCUUUUGAGGACAAAUUUGCAUACCAUUAUCAUUAUCAUUGUUUCAUCGAAAAAAAAAUAAAAGAAGCACCUGUGGGAUAGAGAAUGAGAGAGGAACACAGAAUGGCGAAGGUGUUAGAGCAGUCGGAGGAAAUGGACAUACUUUGGAAGACAGAGACCUGGUAAUCCCUUUUCACCCAAGAAGAACCAAGCCCUGGAUGAAUGGAUGAGCAGCUCACGUUUUUCUGCCCCCCACCCCCAGUCUUUCUGAGACUGACUUUGUCCUAGGAAUUGUUCGUCCCUCUGGAAGCUAGUCUGGAAUUCAGAGACCUGGAGGGAGAAGACACAUGGACUGUCAGAUCUAGAGACCUGCUUCCUUCAAUAGCUGAUUUUCUUUCAUUUGUGUCAGAAACAGGCAGCAUGGCACAGAGCCAUGCACCUAAAACUUUAUUGUGCAUAUUUAUUCCUAGAGAUCUUGUUAAAAUGCAGAUUCAGAUUCAGCCAAUCUAGGGUCAGGGCUUUCUAUUGUAAUAAGUUCCAAGGUAAUGCCAAUGCUGCUGGUCCAUGGACUGCACACUUUGAUGAGAAGUUUAGUAAGGAUAUAGAGGAAAGAAUACUACACGUGUAGUAGUAAUUUCUGGCUUUUAGUAUCAGCUCUGCCAUUUACCAGCUUGCUUUCUUGGACAAGUCAUUUUUCCUCUCUGGAUUUUAGUUUCCUCAAAUAUAAGCUGGGUGAUAGAGGAGGAGGUUGGGUUAGGUUAUUUCAAAGCUUGCAUUCAUAGACUCUUCAAAGUGAUGUUUUGAUUAAAAAACUCCACCUAUAGGAUCACGUACAGCUUUUCAAAGGACUAGCAGGUGAACUGGCAUUAUCAAAGCAGAAAAUAUAGGGGCUGGAGCAGGAAGGCAUGGCAAAGUCAGAGAAAAGGAAGGUGAGCCAUAAUAACUUCUUAUGGCAAAUAUAACACUUUGAUUAUUUCAGAGUGAUG